UGCGGAUGUGGCGGAAUUGGUAUACGCGCACGCUUGAGGGGCGUGUGGCCUUGGCCUUGCGAGUUCGAGUCUCGCCAUCCGCAU
This 84-nucleotide transfer RNA is filed under the name Calothrix parasitica NIES-267. RNAcentral's name for it is "tRNA-Leu". It matches the Rfam family "tRNA". From Rfam's summary of the family: Transfer RNA (tRNA) molecules are approximately 80 nucleotides in length. Their secondary structure includes four short double-helical elements and three loops (D, anti-codon, and T loops). The record is from RNAcentral. Lineage: Bacteria; Bacillati; Cyanobacteriota; Cyanophyceae; Nostocales; Calotrichaceae.